UAGUCCACGCCGUAAACGAUGAGCGCUAGUCGUCGAGGCAUUAUGCAGCGGUGAUACAGCUAACGCGUUAAGCGCUCCGCCUGGGGAGUACGGUCGCAAGACUAAAACUCAAAGGAAUUGACGGGGACCCGCACAAGCGGUGGAGCAUGUGGUUUAAUUUGAUGCUACGCGAAGAACCUUACCACCAUUUGACAUCUUGAUCGCGGAUCGUAGAGAUACUUUCCUUCAGUUCGGCUGGAUCAAUGACAGGUGUUGCAUGGCUGUCGUCAGCUCGUGUCGUGAGAUGUUGGGUUAAGUCCCGCAACGAGCGCAACCCUUAUCCUUAUUUGCCAGCGGUCAGGCCGGGAACUAUAAGGAGACUGCCCGUGAUAAACGGGAGGAAGGUGGGGACGACGUCAAGUCAUCAUGGCCCUUACAUGGUGGGCUACACACGUGCUACAAUGGAAGUGACAAUGAGAAGCAAUACCGCGAGGUGGAGCAAAUCUCAAAAAGCUUA
Molecule: ribosomal RNA, 496 nt
Filed under: uncultured bacterium
Lineage: Bacteria
Description: bacterial SSU rRNA
Rfam family: Bacterial small subunit ribosomal RNA
Source: RNAcentral